Molecule: ribosomal RNA, 490 nt
Filed under: uncultured bacterium
Lineage: Bacteria
Description: bacterial SSU rRNA
Rfam family: Bacterial small subunit ribosomal RNA
Source: RNAcentral
GAUGAACGCUAGCGGCAGGCUUAACACAUGCAAGUCGAGGGGCAGCAUGAUUGAACUUUCGGGUUCGGUUGAUGGCGACCGGCGCAAGGGUGCGUAACGCGUGAGCAACUUGCCCGUUUCAGGGGGAUAACCGGUGGAAACGCCGACUAAUACCCCAUGGCAUCAUAUUGAGGCAUCUUUAUAUGAUUAAAGAAUUUCGGAAACGGAUAGGCUCGCGUGACAUUAGCUAGAUGGCGGGGUAACGGCCCACCAUGGCGACGAUGUCUAGGGGUUCUGAGAGGAAGGUCCCCCACACUGGAACUGAGACACGGUCCAGACUCCUACGGGAGGCAGCAGUGAGGAAUAUUGGUCAAUGGUCUGACGACUGAACCAGCCAUGCCGCGUGAAGGUCACGGCCCUAUGGGUCUUAAACUUCUUUUGUGAGGGAGCAAUAAGGCGCACGUGUGCGUCGAUGAGAGUACCUCGCGAAUAAGCAUCGGCCAACUCCGUG